Molecule: non-coding RNA, 28 nt
Filed under: Mus musculus (house mouse)
Lineage: Eukaryota; Metazoa; Chordata; Mammalia; Rodentia; Muridae
Source: RNAcentral
UGCCUCACUUGUGACAGAUGGAAGCUGC